This 227-nucleotide ribosomal RNA is filed under the name uncultured prokaryote. RNAcentral's name for it is "partial 16S ribosomal RNA". It matches the Rfam family "Bacterial small subunit ribosomal RNA", at positions 26 to 253 of the family's 1533-position model. The record is from RNAcentral.
AGAUUGAACGCUAGCGGCAUGCCUAACACAUGCAAGUCGAACGGUAACAGGCCCUUCGGGUGCUGACGAGUGGCGGACGGGUGAGUAAUGCGUAGGAAUCUACCCACGAGUGGGGGAGUAGCCCGGACGAAAUACCGGAUUAAUACCGCAUAUGCCCUACGGGUAAAGGACGGGGAGUCGUAAGACCCGCCGCUGUGGAUGAGCCUACGUCCGAUUAGUUAGUUGGU